AAAAUUUUAGUUUAAUAAAAAUUAUUUAUUUACAAUAAAUGGAUUAAUAUAAUCUAUUAAAAUUUUA
This 67-nucleotide transfer RNA is filed under the name Parapolybia varia. RNAcentral's name for it is "tRNA-Val". Lineage: Eukaryota; Metazoa; Arthropoda; Insecta; Hymenoptera; Vespidae. The record is from RNAcentral.